UACGGGGGGGGUAAGCGUUGUUCGGAAUUACUGGGCGUAAAGGGCUCGUAGGCGGCCAACUAAGUCAUACGUGAAAUCCCCAGGCUUAACCUGGGAACUGCAUCCGAUACUGGAUGGCUUGAAUCCGGGAGAGGGAUGCAGAAUUCCAGGUGUAGCGGUGAAAUGCGUAGAUAUCUGGAGGAAUACCGGUGGCGAAGGCGGCAUCCUGGGCAGAAACUGACGCUGAGGAGCGAAAGCCAGGGGAGCAAACGGG
RNAcentral lists this ribosomal RNA (253 nucleotides) under uncultured bacterium. RNAcentral describes it as "partial 16S ribosomal RNA". It matches the Rfam family "Bacterial small subunit ribosomal RNA", at positions 524 to 776 of the family's 1533-position model. The record is from RNAcentral.